GCGCGAAAACUUUACAAUGCGGGAAACCGUGAUAAGGGAACCCCGAGUGCCUGUAUAUGCAGGCUGUCCAGGUGUCUAAAAAACACCUGAAGAAAGGGCCGGGCAAGACCGGUGCCAGCCGCCGCGGUAAUACCGGCGGCUCGAGUGGUGGCCACUUUUAUUGGGCUUAAAGCGUUCGUAGCUGGGUUGUUAAGUCUCUUGGGAAAUCUGACGGCUUAACCGUCAGGCGUCUAAGAGAUACUGGCAAUCUUGGAACCGGGAGAGGUGAGGGGUACUUCGGGGGUAGGAGUGAAAUCCUGUAAUCCUCGAGGGACCACCUGUGGCGAAGGCGCCUCACCAGAACGGCUUCGACAGUGAGGGACGAAAGCUGGGGGAGCAAACCGGAUUAGAUACCCGGGUAGUCCCAGCCGUAAACGAUGCGCGUUAGGUGU
Molecule: ribosomal RNA, 431 nt
Filed under: uncultured bacterium
Lineage: Bacteria
Description: bacterial SSU rRNA
Rfam family: Archaeal small subunit ribosomal RNA
Source: RNAcentral